UAAGUCAGAUUUUUUAUUUGCAUCAUUUAACAAUAAACUAAUGUACCAAGUUCAACACUGUAACCAUCAUUAACAGGCACUAGAUUUAACAACACAUUUACAACUGCUAUUACAAAAUCAUUUCAUGCUACACAUUUUUUUUUCAUUUUCAAAAGCUAGAAACAGUAGAUCAAAACAAAGUAAAUUUAAUAUACACUAAGGUUUUAUCACCCCAAUUUCAAUUGACACCCUUAAAUACAGUGUAUGUUAAAAUAGGCUAAAACUUUAUAAAAGUUUUUCAUUUAACAUUUGAUCAUGGUUGUUUAAAAAAAAAAAAAAUCUUGAUGAAUAUGACAGAAUUUCAUGUGACUCUUCAAUGGAUAACAUUUUAAAAAUACACAC
Molecule: non-coding RNA, 381 nt
Organism: Biomphalaria pfeifferi
Lineage: Eukaryota; Metazoa; Mollusca; Gastropoda; Planorbidae
Source: the annotation of a GenBank genome assembly